Molecule: long non-coding RNA, 1376 nt
Organism: Mus musculus (house mouse)
Lineage: Eukaryota; Metazoa; Chordata; Mammalia; Rodentia; Muridae
Product: predicted gene, 41625
Exons: 3
Source: RefSeq, a predicted model, not a curated record
GAGUGAACAAAGAAAAAUGAAUUCUAAUAACUCAGAUCUCUCUCUCUGCCACUCCAGUGUAGCAGCUGCUAGCAGCCGAUCUUCACUGUGCUGAAAUCUUUAAAACCAACUGCAUGGAGUUGGAAAGACAAACUACAAGCUAGUCUUUCGCAGCUGCAGGAGCUGUGACAGUGGACAACCUUGGACAUAACAUGUUGUGCCGUUGGGAGUCAGAGACUUAAAGUUUGGUGCUUAGAUGAAUGGACAGAAAUGCAAUACAGGCUUUGUGGCUGUUUGGAAAAGCACAGGGCCAUACUGCUCUUCACUCUCAUCAGCAACUCGUGAGAAGAGGGCUCUGCACGUCUUUGCUAGAACAAGAUGACUGUGUGGAAUCAAAGAAUGAAGGAACCAGUGAUGGACUGGAGAACGAGGCAGAGAAACAGAAAGAAAAAUGGCAGACUUCACAUUGUAAAAGCCUUUGUCAACUACAGUUUGGCCUUUACCCUGAGCAGAGCAACCCUAUGAUCCUAUUUGUAUGUUAAAAAAAACAAAACAAAACAAAACUCAAACCUUCGGCUGGGUGAAGAGUCUACAGGAGAAGGGAAAUACUUUGUUACAGGGGAGUGGGGGAGAUAGGAGGUUGAAUGAAGAUACAGGCUAGGGUGGUGCUGGAGAGGAAGUGAGUUAGGGAGAGAUCCAGCAGUCACAAUGACAAUAGAAGAUUUGUUGGGUGGAAAGAGGAGAAAGAAGUCUGGAAUGUGUCUCUUUGGUUUGAAUAGAAGAGAGGUAACUAUAAUGAAGGUGGCUUUUUAAACUUGGAUUUGACCGUGGGUCAGUGUUCAUUCUGUGACGACCUGAGUUAGGUUUCUCUAUAUUCACUGGAUCCAGGAGGUGUGGCUCUAUCUGGGGUGCUGUAGCAGAGCUGAUGAGAUGCCAGUGUCUGCGAGUAGAACCCCCUCUGAAGACCAGUUGGCCAGCAGCACAGCUUUGGGAAUGACUAACUUUCCCAGGAUAUCUGAUAGGGUGUGCUCAGUGUCAUGUAACCACUGACAAUAAAUGGGAUUUUGGUCUUUGAAGGCAAAAAUCCUCAUCUUGACAUCUUCUUUCAUGCCCAAGCACCUGCACACCGCGGAGUGUACAAUCUCCAAUAGUUAUCACAGAGAGAGAUUAUGAAAGAAAAUCUAAGGUCAGGCGUGGGGGUCCAUGCCUUUAAUCCCAGCGCUCAAGAGGCAGGGGUAGGCAAGCUCUGUGAAUUUGAGGCCAGCCUUGUCUGUAAAAUGGGUUCCAGGAUAGCCAAGGCUUAUACAGAGGUUUAUACAGAGAAACUAUGUCUUGAAAAACCACCACCACCAAACAAAAAGAGAAGAAAAAAGAAAAGAAAAGAAAAGAAAAGAAAA